Molecule: ribosomal RNA, 497 nt
Filed under: uncultured bacterium
Lineage: Bacteria
Description: partial 16S ribosomal RNA
Rfam family: Bacterial small subunit ribosomal RNA
Source: RNAcentral
GAUGAACGCUGGCGGCGUGCCUAAUACAUGCAAGUCGAGCGAACAGACGAGGAGCUUGCUCCUCUGACGUUAGCGGCGGACGGGUGAGUAACACGUGGAUAACCUACCUAUAAGACUGGGAUAACUUUGGGAAACCGGAGCUAAUACCGGAUAAUAUAUUGAACCGCAUGGUUCAAUAGUGAAAGACGGUCUUGCUGUCACUUAUAGAUGGAUCCGCGCCGCAUUAGCUAGUUGGUAAGGUAACGGCUUACCAAGGCGACGAUGCGUAGCCGACCUGAGAGGGUGAUCGGCCACACUGGAACUGAGACACGGUCCAGACUCCUACGGGAGGCAGCAGUAGGGAAUCUUCCGCAAUGGGCGAAAGCCUGACGGAGCAACGCCGCGUGAGUGAUGAAGGUCUUCGGAUCGUAAAACUCUGUUAUUAGGGAAGAACAAAUGUGUAAGUAACUAUGCACGUCUUGACGGUACCUAAUCAGAAAGCCACGGCUAACUACGUG